RNAcentral lists this long non-coding RNA (1262 nucleotides) under Canis lupus familiaris (dog). RNAcentral's name for it is "lncRNA (ENSCAFG00000053047.1, ENSCAFG00805013000.1)". Lineage: Eukaryota; Metazoa; Chordata; Mammalia; Carnivora; Canidae. The record is from RNAcentral.
CUACAGCAGUCCUUACGUGUGUCACUGCACAGGGGGGCCACACUGUCUCUGCCAUGGGACCUGGCCCUUUUCAAUGGUGUUCUUGUUUUAGGGCACCUCUGGCCCAGGGUUGCGGCUGUGUGUCUGUCUUUGUUGGCCUGGUUCCUUCCUCUUCCCCAAGCUUGCUCUCCCAUAACUUGAUGAUAAAAUCACUCUUCAGCUUCACAGUUUGUUUGUCUUGAUUUACUGGCAGUUUUUGACUAAAGUGACCCGUCAAGGUAGUGGACAUUCUGUAGCAGCAGGCUGUCAGCCUAUUUUAUAAUUUGGGGCAUGUCACUCCAAGCUUGAGAUUUCUUUCUGGCAAGUUCCAUCCAGGAUGGCUGAUCUGUGCUGGCAUAACUGGCUCUCUUCAGCUGAUGCAAUUCUUUCUCCGUCAUCACUGCAGACUGAGCUGCUGGAAAGAAGACAAAACAAACAGAAACAUGAGAAAUGAGUUUAGAUUCCCACUUAAGCCUCUUGUGUUUCUUUAAAAUAUAUGUCAAGGUCUCAACUGUGGUCUCAAACAUAAAAUCCGUUAAUGCAUAAACAUGUAAAGAAGAUUUAGGCAUAGAAUAAUUUAUGUAAUAAAAAAGCCUUAAGAACAGCAGACCCCAAAUGGUUCCAGGAAUGCAGUGAGGUGAGAGAAACUUUCAGAAUAAAACUGCCAAGAACUCUGGAGAUCGGUUUGCACAACGGUGUGAAUAUUCUUCACACUGCCAAACUGUACACUUAAGAGUGGCUAGGAUGAUAAAUUUAGUUGUAUGUAUUUUACCACAAUGAAAAGUAUAUUUAAAAAUACUGAUACACGUGACAACAGAGACGAAUCUUGAAAACAUUAUGCUUGGUGAAAGAAGCCAGAUACAUUUUAUUUUAUGAUUCCAUUUAUGAGAAAUGUCCCCAAAAGGCAAGUAUAGGGAGACAGAAAGUAGAUUAGUGGUUGCCUAGACCUGGGCUGGGGAACAGUGAAUGACUGUAAAUGGGCAUGAGGUUUCUUUUUAGGGUGAGGAAGUAUUCUAAAAUUGGAUUGUGACGGUUGUACAAGUCAGUAAAUAUAUUCUCAUUGUCAAUAUAUAGUUGCUGAAUUGUACACUUAAAACAGGUGAGUCUUAUGGCACAUAAAUGUCAUGUCAGUAAAAGCUGUUUAAAAACGUCAAUGUGGCAAAGUCAUUCGGAAAAAGAAAACAAGACCAAAAAAAAAAAAAAAAGCAGAACCAAUCCCAGAAACGUAUUCUAAAGUGUUUGGU